UGGCCACGCUUCUUUUGAUGUAGUCCAGGAUACGAUUGGCUUUCUCGGCUGCAAGUGCACAUGCUG
This is a long non-coding RNA of Aquila chrysaetos chrysaetos, 66 nucleotides long. RefSeq lists it as uncharacterized. The transcript is spliced from 3 exons. The record is from RefSeq and is a predicted model, not a curated record. NCBI's taxonomy places the organism in Eukaryota, Metazoa, Chordata, Aves, Accipitriformes, Accipitridae.